AGGACGAACGGCUGGCGGCGUGCUUAACACAUGCAAGUCGAACGGGGAUACUGCUGGAAAGCCUCGGGACGGAAGGCGGUAUCGAGUGGCGGACGGGUGAGUAACGCGUGAACAAUCUGUCCCGGACAGGGGGAUAACACAUGGAAACAGGUGCUAAUACCGCGUAAGACCACGAUGCGGCAUCGCAUUGAGGUAAAAGGAGAGAUCCGGUUCGGGGUGAGUUCGCGUCCGAUUAGCCAGUUGGUGAGGUAACGGCCCACCAAAGCGACGAUCGGUAGCCGAUCUGAGAGGAUGAGCGGCCACAUUGGAACUGAGAGACGGUCCAAACUCCUACGGGAGGCAGCAGUGGGGAAUAUUGGGCAAUGGGCGCAAAGCCUGACCCAGCAACGCCGCGUGAGUGAAGAAGGCUUUCGGGUUGUAAAGCUCUGUUAUAGGGGACGAAGGAAGUGACGGUACCCUAUAAGGAAGCCCCGGCUAACUACGUGCCAGCAGCAGC
RNAcentral lists this ribosomal RNA (496 nucleotides) under uncultured bacterium. Its description in RNAcentral is "bacterial SSU rRNA". It matches the Rfam family "Bacterial small subunit ribosomal RNA", at positions 35 to 518 of the family's 1533-position model. The record is from RNAcentral.